Molecule: ribosomal RNA, 377 nt
Filed under: uncultured eukaryote
Lineage: Eukaryota
Description: partial 18S ribosomal RNA
Rfam family: Eukaryotic small subunit ribosomal RNA
Source: RNAcentral
CAAUAGCGUAUAUUAAAGUUGUUGCAGUUAAAAAGCUCGUAGUUGGAUUUGUGGUUCGUCCCGCCGGCUGGGUCAUUGACUUUUGCUGUGCUGGUCGUCCAUCCUUGGGUGGAAUCUGUGUGGCAUUAGGUUGUCGCGCAGGGGAUGCCCAUCGUUUACUGUGAAAAAAUUAGAGUGUUCAAAGCAGGCUUAUGCCGUUGAAUAUAUUAGCAUGGAAUAAUAAUAUAGGACCUUGGUACUAUUUUGUUGGUUUGCGCACUGAGGUAAUGAUUAAUAGGGACAGUUGGGGGUAUUCGUAUUCCAUUGUAAGAGGUGAAAUUCUUGGAUUUUUGGAAGACGAACUACUGCGAAAGCAUUUACCAAGGAUGUUUNCAUUA